Molecule: non-coding RNA, 85 nt
Organism: Cubamyces lactineus
Lineage: Eukaryota; Fungi; Basidiomycota; Agaricomycetes; Polyporales; Polyporaceae
Source: the annotation of a GenBank genome assembly
GCCCGCCUAGCUCAAUCGGAUAGAGCGUCAGACUCUUACCAAGGCGGGAAUCUGAAGGCUGCGAGUUCGACCCUCGCGGUGGGCU